CGCCUGUUUAUCAAAAACAUGUCUUUUUGUGAAUUAUUUAAGGUCUGGCCUGCUCAAUGAGUUGUUAAAUAGCCGCAGUAUUUUGACUGUGCAAAGGUAGCAUAAUCAUUAGUUUUUUAAUUGGAAGCUGGAAUGAAUGGUUGGAUGAGGAAGUAACUGUCUCAUUUUAAUUUGUUGAACUUUAUUUUUGAGUUAAAAAGCUUAAAUUUUAUAGAAAGACGAGAAGACCCUAUAGAGUUUGAUAAGUUCAUUAUUUGGUUUUUUAGGUUUUUAUUUUUAAUUGAGUUUGACUUUAUUUUGUUGGGGUGAUAUGAAAAUUGGUUGAACUUUUCAUUAUUUUUACAUUGAUUUAUGGUUUAUUGAUCCUGAAGAUUUGGAUUUAUAGUUUAAAUUACCUUAGGGAUAACAGCGUAAUUCUUUUAGAGAGUUCUAAUCGAUAAGGGAGAUUGCGACCUCGAUGUUGGAUUAAAGUUAAUUUUUGGUGCAGAAGCUAGAAUUUUGAGUCUGUUCGACUCCUAAAACUUUACGUGAUCUGAGUUUAGACCGG
This 547-nucleotide ribosomal RNA is filed under the name Iselma rufipennis. RNAcentral describes it as "partial 16S ribosomal RNA". It matches the Rfam family "Bacterial large subunit ribosomal RNA", at positions 1797 to 2619 of the family's 2925-position model. The record is from RNAcentral. Lineage: Eukaryota; Metazoa; Arthropoda; Insecta; Coleoptera; Meloidae.